Molecule: ribosomal RNA, 599 nt
Filed under: Aspergillus oryzae
Lineage: Eukaryota; Fungi; Ascomycota; Eurotiomycetes; Eurotiales; Aspergillaceae
Description: eukaryotic LSU rRNA
Rfam family: 5.8S ribosomal RNA (bases 216-369)
Source: RNAcentral
CCUUCCGUAGGGUGACCUGCGGAAGGAUCAUUACCGAGUGUAGGGUUCCUAGCGAGCCCAACCUCCCACCCGUGUUUACUGUACCUUAGUUGCUUCGGCGGGCCCGCCAUUCAUGGCCGCCGGGGGCUCUCAGCCCCGGGCCCGCGCCCGCCGGAGACACCACGAACUCUGUCUGAUCUAGUGAAGUCUGAGUUGAUUGUAUCGCAAUCAGUUAAAACUUUCAACAAUGGAUCUCUUGGUUCCGGCAUCGAUGAAGAACGCAGCGAAAUGCGAUAACUAGUGUGAAUUGCAGAAUUCCGUGAAUCAUCGAGUCUUUGAACGCACAUUGCGCCCCCUGGUAUUCCGGGGGGCAUGCCUGUCCGAGCGUCAUUGCUGCCCAUCAAGCACGGCUUGUGUGUUGGGUCGUCGUCCCCUCUCCGGGGGGGACGGGCCCCAAAGGCAGCGGCGGCACCGCGUCCGAUCCUCGAGCGUAUGGGGCUUUGUCACCCGCUCUGUAGGCCCGGCCGGCGCUUGCCGAACGCAAAUCAAUCUUUUUCCAGGUUGACCUCGGAUCAGGUACGGGAUACCCGCUGAACUUAAGCAUAUCAAUAAGCGGAGGA